GGAGGGGUGGCAGAGUGGUCGAAUGCGCAUGAUUGGAAAUCAUGUGUUGGCGCAAGCCAACCGGGGGUUCGAAUCCCCCCCCCUCCGCCA
This 90-nucleotide transfer RNA is filed under the name Opitutus sp. RNAcentral's name for it is "tRNA-Ser". It matches the Rfam family "tRNA". Rfam says of the family: Transfer RNA (tRNA) molecules are approximately 80 nucleotides in length. Lineage: Bacteria; Pseudomonadati; Verrucomicrobiota; Opitutia; Opitutales; Opitutaceae. RNAcentral also lists the same sequence under 1 other name. The record is from RNAcentral.